UGAUGUGUGAUCAGAAUUUGUUUAAUGAGGCACUGCCUAGGGUUCCUACGGAUUCGUUCUCCCAUAAUGCUGUCUUGGGCAUUGGAUUGCCAUGGUUUAAUGCUCUAGUUUCUCAAGCUGGGUAUUAUAUGCAUAAUGGUUUUCCUUCAGUCUCAUCUUCUGGUUCUAUUUCUAUCGUUCCCACUCCUCAGUCUUCGUUUGUUUCUUCUCUUUUUUUCGAGCUAUCUGAGUGUUUUCUCUGCUGCUAUGGGGAGAGAGGUCUGUUGGUAUCCCGACUCAGGUGCCACGCAUCAUAUCACGAAUGAUCGUGUCAUUCUUCAGUCUCAGUCUCCGUAUACAGGACUCUCAGACGCAGGAGGUGUUGCUGCGACGGAGGCGCACUACUGAUGGUUCGUAUGAAUUUGAUGUCCAGCGAGGAAGGUUCCGGCGUUGGGGGCUCUACUGAGCUCAAUUCGUAUCGGACUCAGGGGUCUCUUGAGUUGUGGCAUCGUCGUCUUGGGCACCCUUCUUUGAGUGUUCUUAAGACUGUCUUAAUUCUUGUAAUAUUCCUGUUAAUAAUAAUAAGAUGUCUGUUGUUUGUCCUUUUUGUUUACAAGGUAAGGCUCAUAAAUUGUCCUUUUCUUUGUCUGAGACAAUUUAUACUUCCCCUUUUCAUUUGGUGGUGUUUGAUGUAUGGGGGCCAGCCCUUGUUGCCUCGGAUGGUUUUUGCUAUUAUGUUUCCUUUAUAGAUGUCUAUAGUCGACAUACUUGGCUUUAUUUGCUAAAAAGAAAAUCAUAUUUUGCUCAAUGUUUUGUCAAUUUUAUAAAUUGGUUGAAGUUCAAUUUGGUGUUCAGAUUAAAGCUUUACAGUCCGAUGGAGGUGGGGAGUUUCAGGCUCUUUUUCAAUGGUUUGCGACACCUGGAGUACAACAUCGGAUAUCGUGUCCUUUUACCUCAGAGCAGAAUGUAAGGCAGAGCGUAAGCAUCGUUACAUCGUUGAAAUGGGACUCAUUUCCUUGCUCAGUCAUCCUUGUCCAUUAAGUUUUGGAGUCAUGCGUUCACUAUUGAUGUGUUUCUCAUUAACCUUUUGAGGUUCUAAGUAAGAAGUCUCCUCAUGAGGUGUUGUAUGGUGUAAAGCCAGAUUAUUCAUUUAUCAAAACUUUUGGUUGUGCCUGCUAUCCCUAUCUUCGUCCUUUCAGUUGUCACAAGUUUGGGCUUCGAUCAAAGGAGUAUGUUUUUCUAAGUUAUAGUGUCUCAGAAAGGGUAUAAAUGUUUUGAUGAUAAUGGUCACAUUUUUAUUUCCAGACAUGUUUAUUUGAUGAGUCAGUUUUUCCUAGUACAAGCAAUUUUCAGACUUUUAAGGAUGCAGGGGAUGAUGUGUUUGUUAUUGUUCGUCUGGGCUUGGUUUCUAUACCUGAUGCUUCAAGUGAUACUGGUGUUGAGUUUUAUCCUAAUGUUCAUGUGGAUAGCUUUCCUGCUGAUCUGUAUGAUCCUUCUAAUGAUUUAUCUGUGCAUUUUUUGCGACAAUGUGUUUCUGGUUUUCCUGGUACUCCGAAUUUCCCUGAUGGUUUAUCUGGUGAAGUUGAUGAACGUUCUCUAGGGCCUCAGUCGUUAGUACCUGAUAGUUCUGCAGCUACUGGUGUUGAUGUUGUUCGGAGUGAUGCUGCAGUUGGAACUUCUUCGCAUCCAUCUGGUAAUGAGCAAGGUGACGUGUCUAAUAGACAUCACAUGGUGACUAGGAGCAAGAAUGGAAUUCAAAAACCUAGAGUGUUUCUUGCAGCAAAAACGGUUACAGUCUGAAGUUGAACCCUACCACCAUUGAGGAAGAUUUUCUUAAUCCUCAUUGGGAAGCAGGUGCACAAGUUGAAUAUGAUUCGCUUUUGAAGAAUAACACCUUGACAUCGACUGAGCUGCCUUCUCAUUUUUGAAAAGUUGGUUGUAAGUGGAUUUUUAAACUUAAGGAAAAUGUUGAUGGUAUUAUUGCUCGCUACAAAGCUCAUCUUGUUGCUAAGGGGAAUUUACAACAGGCUGGUCGUGAUUAUGAUGAAACCUUUAGCUCUGUUGUCAAGCCAGCUACUGUUCGGACUAUUCUGUCCAUUGCCAUCGACAGAUAGAUGUUAGUAAUUCUUUUCUGAAUGGAGAUCUCACCGAGGAACUCUACAUGUCUCAGUCACCUGGUUAUGAGGUGGGUGACAAACGUUAUGGCCUGUCGCUUGAACAAGGCCAUCUGUAGGCUCAAGCAGGCUCCUCGGGCUUGGUUUGAGAAGUUGAGAAAUUAUUUAAUUACUGUAAGCUUUGCUUUAUCAAAGUCAAAUGCCUCUUUGUUUAUGAAAUGUGUUGAUAACAAGUUGGUGUAUCUCUUAGUAUGUGGAUGAUAUUAUUGUUACUGGGAAUAAUUUUGCUGAGAUUGAAACAAUUAUGUAUGAUCAUGACAAAGUUUUUUCGUUGAAAGAUCUUGGCCAGGUGAGUUAUUUUUUGGGUAUUCAGGUUACCUAUUCUUCUCAGCGAGUUUUUCUUAAUCAGCAUAAGUAUGUAAAAGAGUUGUUGUGUAAGUAUGGUUUUGAUGGUGCCCAAGGGUUGCCUACACCUAUGGUUUCGGGCUGUAAAUUGUCUACUCAUAAGGGGUCUCCUCUCUUGAAUCCCUCAGAGUAUAGAAGAAUUGUAGGAGCUCUACAGUAUGUUACUAUUACUUGGCCCGAUAUAUCGUUUGCUGUAAAUCGUGUUUGUCAAUUCAUGCAGGCUCCUCUUGAUGAGCAUUUUCAUGUUGCUAAUAGAAUCUAAAGGUAUCUUCAGGGCACUCUUGACUUUGGGCUACGUUUUACUAAGUCUUCUCGGUUGUCUAUUACAUAGUUUGAUAAUGCUGACUGGGGUUCAGACAUUGAUGAUCGUCGUUCUACCAAUGGCUACUGCAUUUAUUUUGGAGGUAACCCUGUGUCCUGGAUGUCGAAAAAGCAACCAGUGGUCUGUCGGUCUACUGCUAAGGCAGAAUACAGAAGUGUUGCUUGUGUCACCACUGAAGUCAUCUGGCUUGAGUCUUUACUUCAAGAGUUGCAUGUUCAACCUGGUGGAACUGUUGUGCUAUUGUGUGAUAAUUUGAGUGUAAUUGAUAUUUCUUCCAAUCCGGUUAUGCAUUCGAAGUUUAAACAUGUAGAGAUGAAUUUGUUUUCAUUCGGGAACGUGUUGUUGAAGCAACUAUUGGUUAAUGAAGUUCCUGCCAGUGAACAAGUUGCAGAUAUCAUGACUCAGCCGUUGUCUGGAGUGACUUUUGCUUGAUUUCAGGAUAAACUCAAUGUGCUACCUAUUGCUAUAGCAGAUAUUGUUUAGCGGCGUUUGAUGCAUAUGGUUGUUCAUUUUGUGUGUUUGUGUUUUUGUUGUUUCUGCUUGUCUUUGUUUUCUGCAGGUUGUUUUCUUUGAGGUUGAUUGUUUUUGUUAAGAGAAGAAGAAACUAGGGUGAAUGUAAGGGUUCACUGAGUGCAGCUAGUAUGGUAGCGUACUGUUAGGGAUUUUUUGUACUGCACCAGUGAGUUGGCAUGCUGUUAGUGAUUGCUUUCCGUUAUCAGUCAUUAACAGUUACUCUCCUCUUGUAUAAAUUCACCUGGUUCUCUUUGAGAAUAUUACAAGUUAAUAUCAAUAAAAUCUAUUGGGUGUCGUCUCUUUUUUA
Long non-coding RNA from Hibiscus syriacus, 3640 nucleotides. RefSeq lists it as uncharacterized. The record is from RefSeq and is a predicted model, not a curated record. NCBI's taxonomy places the organism in Eukaryota, Viridiplantae, Streptophyta, Magnoliopsida, Malvales, Malvaceae. The transcript has 2 exons.